RNAcentral lists this ribosomal RNA (1440 nucleotides) under metagenome. Its description in RNAcentral is "bacterial SSU rRNA". It matches the Rfam family "Archaeal small subunit ribosomal RNA". The record is from RNAcentral.
ACCCGUUGAUCCUGCGGGAGAUUGCUGCUAUUGGAGUUCGACUAAGCCAUGCAAGUCAAGGAGUUUCUUCGGAAACGACUGGCGAAUCGCUGAGUAACACGUCAGUAACCUGCCCUAAAGUCUAGAAUAGCCUCGGGAAACUGAGGGUAAUACUGGAUAGAAAUUUUCUUCUGGAAUGAGAUUAUUUUUAAAGAUUUAUCGCUUUAGGAUGGGCUGGCGGCUGAUUAGGUAGAUGGUGGGGUAACGGCCCACCAUGCCGACGAUCAGUAGGGGCCAUGAGAGUGGGAGCCCCCAGAAGGACACUGAGAUACUGGUCCUAGCCCUACGGGGUGCAGCAGGCGCGAAACCUUUACAAUGCACGCAAGUGUGAUAAGGGAACUCCAAGUGCUCAUGCAUAGCAUGGGCUUUUUUUAAGAGUAAAUAUCUUAAAGAAUAAGUGGUGGGAAAGACUGGUGCCAGCAGCCGCGGUAACCCCAGCGCCACGAGUGGCAAUCAUGAUUAUUGGGUCUAAAGCGUCCGUAGUCGGUUUAAUCAAUCUCUUGUGAAAGCGUAGGGCUCAACCUUACGAAUUGCAGGAGAUAUUGUUAAACUAGGGACCGGGGCAGUUAGGAGUAUUUCUGAGGGAGCGGUAAAAUGUUAUAAUCUCAGACAGACUACCUGUGGCGAAGGCGCCUAACUAGAACGGAUCCGACGAUGAGGGACGAAGGCCAGGGGAGCGAACCGGAUUAGAUACCCGAGUAGUCCUGGCAGUAAACGCUGUGUGCUAGGUGUUGUACAUUCUUUAAGGAUGUGCAGUGUCGAAGCGAAGGCGAUAAGCACACCACCUGGGAAGUACGGUCGCAAGACUGAAACUUAAAGGAAUUGGCGGGGGAGCACCACAAGGGGUGCAGCGUGCGGUUUAAUCUAACUCAACGCAGAAAAUCUCACCAGCAGCGACGGCAGGAUGAUGGUCAGUCUAAAGGGCUUACCGGACGAGCCGAGAGGUAGUGCAUGGCCGCCGUCAGCUCGUGCCGUAAGGUGUCCUGUUAAGUCAGGUAACGAGCGAGACCUGUGCUUACAAUUGCCAGUGGGUCCUUCGGGAUGACCGGGCACAUUGUAGGGACCGCCCUGGAAACAGGGAGGAAGGUGCAGGCUACGGUAGGUCUGUAUGCUCCGAAUCUGCUGGGCUACACGCGCGCGACAAUGGUAAGGACAAUGGGAUACUACUCCGAGAGGAGACGUUAAACCUCGAAACCUUAUCUAAGUGCAGAUCGUGGCUUGGAACUCAGCCACGUGACGAUGGAAUCCCUAGUAAUCGGUUUUCAACAUAUACCGGUGAAUAUGUCCCUGCUCCUUGCACACACCGCCCGUCAAACCACUCGAGCAGAGUUAUAGUGAGUCUUAGUUUUUUGAUUAAGCCGAACUGUAGCUCAGUGAGAUGGGUUAAGUCGUCACAAGGUA